This 785-nucleotide ribosomal RNA is filed under the name uncultured bacterium. RNAcentral describes it as "bacterial SSU rRNA". It matches the Rfam family "Bacterial small subunit ribosomal RNA", at positions 8 to 806 of the family's 1533-position model. The record is from RNAcentral.
AGAGUUUGAUCCUGGCUCAGGACGAACGCUGGCGGCGCGCCUAACACAUGCAAGUCGAACGAGAGAGAGGGAGCUUGCUUCCUCAAUCGAGUGGCGAACGGGUGAGUAACGCGUGAGGAACCUGCCUCAAAGAGGGGGACAACAGUUGGAAACGACUGCUAAUACCGCAUAAGCCCACAGGUCGGCAUCAACCAGAGGGAAAAGGAGCAAUCCGCUUUGAGAUGGCCUCGCGUCCAAUUAGCUAGUUGGUGAGGUAAUGGCCCACCAAGGCGACGAUCGGUAGCCGGACUGAGAGGUUGAACGGCCACAUUGGGACUGAGACACGGCCCAGACUCCUACGGGAGGCAGCAGUGGGGAAUAUUGCACAAUGGGGGAAACCCUGAUGCAGCGACGCCGCGUGGAGGAAGAAGGUCUUCGGAUUGUAAACUCUUGUUCUUCAGGAAGAUAAUGACGGUACUCAACAAGGAAGUGACGGCUAACUACGUGCCAGCAGCCGCGGUAAAACGUAGGUCACAAGCGUUGUCCGGAAUUACUGGGUGUAAAGGGAGCGCAGGCGGGAGUACAAGUUGGAAGUGAAAUCCAUGGGCUCAACCCAUGAACUGCUUUCAAAACUGUCUUUCUUGAGUAGUGCAGAGGUAGGCGGAAUUCCCGGUGUAGCGGUGGAAUGCGUAGAUAUCGGGAGGAACACCAGUGGCGAAGGCGGCCUACUGGGCACCAACUGACGCUGAGGCUCGAAAGUGUGGGUAGCAAACAGGAUUAGAUACCCUGGUAGUCCACACCGUAAA